This 1458-nucleotide ribosomal RNA is filed under the name Cyanobium sp. JJNV. RNAcentral describes it as "bacterial SSU rRNA". It matches the Rfam family "Bacterial small subunit ribosomal RNA". Lineage: Bacteria; Bacillati; Cyanobacteriota; Cyanophyceae; Synechococcales; Prochlorococcaceae. The record is from RNAcentral.
GAUGAACGCUGGCGGCGUGCUUAACACAUGCAAGUCGAACGAACCUUCGGGUUAGUGGCGGACGGGUGAGUAACGCGUGAGAAUCUGCCCUCAGGAGGGGGAUAACGGCUGGAAACGGCCGCUAAUACCCCAUAUGCCGAGAGGUGAAAUGAAUUUCGCCUGAGGAUGAGCUCGCGUCUGAUUAGCUAGUUGGUGGGGUAAGAGCCUACCAAGGCUUCGAUCAGUAGCUGGUCUGAGAGGAUGAUCAGCCACACUGGGACUGAGACACGGCCCAGACUCCUACGGGAGGCAGCAGUGGGGAAUUUUCCGCAAUGGGCGAAAGCCUGACGGAGCAACGCCGCGUGAGGGAUGAAGGCCUCUGGGCUGUAAACCUCUUUUCUCAAGGAAGAAGACCUGACGGUACUUGAGGAAUAAGCCACGGCUAAUUCCGUGCCAGCAGCCGCGGUAAUACGGGAGUGGCAAGCGUUAUCCGGAAUUAUUGGGCGUAAAGCGUCCGCAGGCGGCCUUUUAAGUCUGUCGUUAAAGCGUGGAGCUUAACUCCAUUUAAGCGAUGGAAACUAGAAGGCUAGAGUGUGGUAGGGGCAGAGGGAAUUCCCGGUGUAGCGGUGAAAUGCGUAGAUAUCGGGAAGAACACCAGUGGCGAAGGCGCUCUGCUGGGCCAUAACUGACGCUCAUGGACGAAAGCCAGGGGAGCGAAAGGGAUUAGAUACCCCUGUAGUCCUGGCCGUAAACGAUGAACACUAGGUGUCGGGGGAAUCGACCCCCUCGGUGUCGUAGCCAACGCGUUAAGUGUUCCGCCUGGGGAGUACGCACGCAAGUGUGAAACUCAAAGGAAUUGACGGGGGCCCGCACAAGCGGUGGAGUAUGUGGUUUAAUUCGAUGCAACGCGAAGAACCUUACCAGGGUUUGACAUCCUGCGAAUCCCUUGGAAACGAGGGAGUGCCUUCGGGAGCGCAGAGACAGGUGGUGCAUGGCUGUCGUCAGCUCGUGUCGUGAGAUGUUGGGUUAAGUCCCGCAACGAGCGCAACCCACGUCGUUAGUUGCCAGCAUUCAGUUGGGCACUCUAGCGAGACCGCCGGUGAUAAACCGGAGGAAGGUGUGGAUGACGUCAAGUCAUCAUGCCCCUUACAUCCUGGGCUACACACGUACUACAAUGCUACGGACAAAGGGCAGCAAGCUCGCGAGAGUUAGCAAAUCCCAUAAACCGUGGCUCAGUUCAGAUCGUAGGCUGCAACUCGCCUACGUGAAGGAGGAAUCGCUAGUAAUCGCAGGUCAGCAUACUGCGGUGAAUACGUUCCCGGGCCUUGUACACACCGCCCGUCACACCAUGGAAGUUGGCCACGCCCGAAGUCGUUACUCCAACCCUUGUGGAGGAGGACGCCGAAGGUGGGGCUGAUGACUGGGGUGAAGUCGUAACAAGGUAGCCGUACCGGAAGGUGCGGCUGGAUCACCUCCUAA